Long non-coding RNA from Pseudophryne corroboree (corroboree frog), 1181 nucleotides. RefSeq lists it as uncharacterized. Lineage: Eukaryota; Metazoa; Chordata; Amphibia; Anura; Myobatrachidae. The transcript is spliced from 3 exons. The record is from RefSeq and is a predicted model, not a curated record.
UACUUUCACUUUCUAUUUCUCCGCCUGCUUCUGGGAAACAGUCAGAAAAGGGACAGAGCGAAUUAGCGGCAGACAGAGGGACUCCUCCUCGGGCAGCGGGAAACGAUACUCCGGAUGCUGCUCAGCCAGGAAUGAGGAGCACAAUGAGCGGGGAGGGAGCGCGUUACGUUUCUGUUCUAAGGAAUAGGGAAUGAGGCAUUGGCCGCCAGUGCUGCUGUAGUACAUACAUUAUAUACAGUAUAUGUCACUGUGUGGCCGGCUGCAGGAAUUCUCCGCAUUGCUCUAAAGAGAAUCCCAGGGGUUUGCUCAGAAUCUCCUGCUCUUACAAAGAAGCCGCUGUUUCAUUAACUACAUCUGGAAUUCCAAUAAGAAAGUCAGCUCUGUACUGUGUUCUGGGUUGAGUUUGUGUGAUCUGAUUUUACUUCAUCAUAUUUUACAUAUUUCUGUAUGUGUAAACCACAUUAUUUUUUGAAACAUUUUAUUCAGGGAAUCCAACUCUUUGUGACGUGCCACCGCAAUGUUCGGCUAUGCGAUUCUUGGAAGGACAGAGGAGCUCACACGUCUGUAGUGCUGCGAACCAAACCUUAGGCAGGCACGUUGCGGCCAACGCUUAGAAUUUAAUCUUGUUAAUAGAACGUCCGUGAGGCUCCUGAAAAUUGUGUGGCACUCCCGACCCAGAUGAAUACUUACCAACGAGCAGGAAACCUCUGACAAAGAACAGGAAACCUCUGACAAUGAACAUGAAAUCCUUGGCAAUGACCAGGAUACCCCUGGCAAUGAGUAGGAGACCCCUGGCAAUGAGCAUGAAACCCCUGGUAACGAGCAUGAAACCCCUGGCAACGAGCAUGACAUGAGACCGCUGGCAAUGAGCAUGGAUCCCAAAGCAUGAAACCCCUGAUAAUGAGCAUGAAGCCCCUGACAAUGAGCAUGAGACCCCUCCUACCAGACUAGGAAAAUGUACCCGAGGAGAUGGACAUACUUUGAGAGAAGGAUACAGAAAAGGAAAGUGGUGAGAUUUUGAACCAGCACAACCGCAACAAGAGGAAAACCAUGCUAACCAAAACUUGUAAACAGUAACAGCAACAGCUGAACCAAUCAACAGUACUUAGCCAAGAAACAGUGCAGGAAAAACGAAGUACCGGGCGGGCGUUCAGUAUCCCCUAUGGACUACGAGAAAAGGA